GGGUACGCGGUGUUCUUGGAGUUAGGUAAGGUGAAGGGGUGUUCGGGGUUCUUGGGGACAAGUUGACAAACUCUAGCGCUUGUUGUCUCAGUUCUAGUGGGUAAUCAGCGACACACACAAUCCUUGGCCCAGCACCGGUUGAACAUUUGAGUGACACCCUUGGCCCAGCACCGGUUGACCAUUUGAAUGACAGCUGAUGUCCCAAUUGGUACGAUUUCGUUGCCUUCUUUGAGUUAAUCCUUUGCAAUAUCGCAG
RNAcentral lists this long non-coding RNA (255 nucleotides) under Gossypium barbadense (sea-island cotton). Its description in RNAcentral is "long non-coding RNA (GBAR_LNC000547)". The record is from RNAcentral. Lineage: Eukaryota; Viridiplantae; Streptophyta; Magnoliopsida; Malvales; Malvaceae.